UCCCUGGUAGUCCAGUGGCUAGGACUGUGCACUCCCAAAGCAGGGGUCCUGGGUUCAAUCCCUUGUUAGGGAA
This 73-nucleotide transfer RNA is filed under the name Bos taurus (domestic cattle). It matches the Rfam family "tRNA". Rfam says of the family: Transfer RNA (tRNA) molecules are approximately 80 nucleotides in length. Their secondary structure includes four short double-helical elements and three loops (D, anti-codon, and T loops). RNAcentral also lists the same sequence under 2 other names. Lineage: Eukaryota; Metazoa; Chordata; Mammalia; Artiodactyla; Bovidae. The record is from Rfam by way of RNAcentral.